GCAACCGUUGCGUCCCGGCCAGCACCGCUAGACGCAGGACAGAGUUCACCUGUUGACUGUCUCUUUGACCCGGCCCCAACAAGAAUGUCCACGCCACGGGGCAGGGGUCCUGUCUGUGCUACUCACAGCUGCACCCCCACACCCAGACCAGGGGUGAGAUGGGGAGAGGGAAAGGAGAAGGGGACACGGAACACCUGAACGCUGUGCCAGGCCGGGUGCUUGGCAAACGACAGUUCACAAGACAGAAAACGUCUCCUCUCCCGAGUACAUCUACCAAGGAAGACAGAAGGUAACUGAAUAAUUACUUGAAUAACAUCCCCUGUUGCAGCGGGGACAGAUCCUGGUGUGGAAGGCAAAUUACGCCCCCACCAACACACACAUGCCCAAAGAGGCCCAUGUUCUAAUUCCCAGAAUCACAGGGCAAAAGGGACGUGAAGAGGUUAAGAAGGAUUUUAAGGAUUGUGAGCUGGGAAGACUAUCCUGGACCAUCUGAGUAGGCUCAGUAUAGCCACAGGGGCCCUUAAAAUAGAAGAGGGGAACAAAAACAGAGGCGGAGAUAUGAAGACAGAAGCAGAGUCAGAGAGAGGUCUGAGGGUGCUAUGUGGCUGGCUCCGCAGACAGAGGGAGGGCCACGAGCUAAGGGGUGCCAGUGACCCCUAGAAGCUGGAAAAGACCAGGGAAUGGAUUAUCCCUUGAAUCCCCCAGAAGGAACGCUCCAGGAUGACACCCUGACUUCAGCCCAGUGAAACUCAUUUUGGACUUCUGACCUACAGGACCACAGAUAAUAAACCUGUACUGUUUUUUGUUUUUGUUUUUAGAUGGAGUCUCG
Molecule: long non-coding RNA, 829 nt
Filed under: Homo sapiens (human)
Lineage: Eukaryota; Metazoa; Chordata; Mammalia; Primates; Hominidae
Description: non-protein coding lnc-TFPT-3:2
Source: RNAcentral